RNAcentral lists this small nuclear RNA (107 nucleotides) under Pan paniscus (pygmy chimpanzee). Lineage: Eukaryota; Metazoa; Chordata; Mammalia; Primates; Hominidae. The record is from RNAcentral.
GUGCUCACUUUGGUAGCACAUUUAUUAAAAUUAGAAUGAUACAGAGAAAAUUAGCAUGGCCCCUGUGAAAGGAUGACAUGCAAAUUCAUGAAGCAUUCUAUAUUUUU